GAAGGGUCAAAAGGGUAUUAUCAGGGGAAGAUAAAAAUGAGUUCUUGGAAGGUAUUAAGGAAGUGGGGUUUGAGGAAUUUGAAGUUGGUUGUGGUCGAAAUGAGCUUGUAGCUUUACAAGUAAAGUGGAAAGAAAGAUUUUUGUGGGAGAAAGGAAAUGGAGAAGAUGGUGAAGUGGGGGAGGGUGAAGGGGGGGUGGGGGGUAGUAGAGUUGUCAUGAAUUCUUGAACAUUUGGGAAAGAAGAGGAGAAAGGGGGAAGGAGCAGUGUUUAAAAUUGGGGGAAUGGUGAUAAGGUGGU
Molecule: long non-coding RNA, 298 nt
Filed under: Nicotiana tabacum (common tobacco)
Lineage: Eukaryota; Viridiplantae; Streptophyta; Magnoliopsida; Solanales; Solanaceae
Description: long non-coding RNA (NTAB_LNC018666)
Source: RNAcentral